Gasterosteus aculeatus aculeatus (three-spined stickleback) is the source of this 2204-nucleotide long non-coding RNA. The record is from Ensembl. NCBI's taxonomy places the organism in Eukaryota, Metazoa, Chordata, Actinopteri, Perciformes, Gasterosteidae.
GGUGGCUGUACUGUCUCUUUAAGAAACCGUGGGCGUGGCUCGUGUUGCGUUUGCAUCAGACUUUCUGAUGAAUGACCCGGAUGCUUUUAUGACGAAACCGGGUUUUGUGCAGCCACAGUUGUCCUCCCCCCACACUGUAUUCACCAUGAUUCACCAGCAGUGGAAUUAUUUUUCCACCCAGUUAUUCUUGUUACUCCAAUAAACGCUGCGUGGUUAUAUCACAUAGCUGGCUUGUUCUCAGUUUUUCCCCACUUUAUUAUUAGGGUGUUUACUGUCAAAACCCUGUAUUUAACUACGUCUGGCUAACUUAUGUGGUUCUCCCAUUUUAGGCGCCUUUCUUCUUUAGGUUUUAAAUUCUCAUAAUAUAUAGGAUGGCUCUGACUUAUUCUCGAACACCUAUUAGUACUAUUGUAUUUAUUCAUUCAUCAGUUUCACUAUAUAGCUCUAAAACCCCAAAUUAAGCAGUAUAUGAAGCAAGACUUUUGCUGGAGAUAAAAACCUGGCAGGAUACUUCCCUGUUUUGUUGGUAACCAGGACUAGUGAUUAGGUUCCUUUGGGAUAAGGACCUACUGCAAAACUGAACUAAACAUCCAGUGCAAAACUGACAAUGAACAAUACCUCCAGUGCGCCUUUAGGUAUAUUUUGAUCCCUUAUCUGUUAGUUUUUUCUAAUGUAUAUUAGUUUACUUUUUUUCUUUUACACCCAAUUUUCUGUUUACCACAUUCCUGUAUCAAAUAAUCAUAAGUAACACAGCUUGUAACAUAGUGUUUCAUGAAGUCCUCAAGCAGGAAGGAAAAAUAUACACUUCAUCAUUGACAAAAGUAAAAUCAGGUUUAUUUGCAAAGCCUACACCAUUUAAACAGGAUUUAGAGAUCAACAGAAGCCUCGUUAUAGAACCAUCAAAUGGCUAAUGGCUUUACUCAGACGGCCCUCUUUUGGCUUGUGGUGAGCAUCGGGGGGUUUGAAUGAAAUCAGCUGCAGCCCCGUUAAGUAAAAGCCAGAAGUCUGGUGAUACCGACCCCAGGCUGUGUUAUGCAUGUGAUGAACGAGUCUCCUCAACACUCAGGGUGUGAAAUGAAUGCAGACGAUACUCUGCACACCAGAAGGGAAUACUUUGAUAGCCAGUGUGAAGAUGGGGGCGGCAGGAGAUUUGUGUGUUGCAGAUAAGCUCUAUUUGCAUGAACUGUCUCGCCUUGGCCUCAGAUUGUAUUUGCAUUAGGGUGGGCUGACAUUGAUAUUUAAAAUUGAGUUACUUUAAACUCAUUCCUGCACAUUUCAUCUUGGCAUUCAUCAGGAUCAGUCUUUGAGACUUUUUAUUUUCUGUACCCACACGGACACCAAGUCACGUUUCUCAAAACUGGCAGAUAGAGAAGAUUCUGUGCCAGUUGAUGUUGCUGCCCACGACGAAAUGUGGUUUAAACCGGAAUUCAUAAUGUGUUUACAUGGAUAGUAGAUGACUUGUAAAAGCUGUCUCUCUGUCUAUCUAUCAACACUGUAUGGGCACAAGUAUGUUGCUUUAUAUGCACUGUGCCUUAGAUUAGUGCUUUCAAACUUUAACGUAUGACCCCAUAAAAGAAAGUAGUAUAAUCUUUUUAGAUUCUCAAAAGGUAAAGUGUCGCGCCUUUCACGCAUAACAAGCAAAUAUUAUUUAUAUUACUUGUUACUUAUAGCAGUAUUAAUGUUAUUAAUUAAUGUUGGGUUUCUGAGCACUUAAAACAAGGGUUUAUUGUUUUGUGUUCUCCUGUAAAACAUCUUGCAACACGAUGAGGCCUCUGUGCAGAAACUAGGACCAUGAAGAAAGGCUUUUCCCCCACUUCCCCCGACAAAAACCCCAGGAACGUGAGCCAGGUCCUAUCGCUCCAACUUCAGUGGCUGUCCUCUGUGGUCCUCCGUGCUGUUGUGGCUGAAGGGGAGACAAUUUGAACAUAUUUAGUGGUUGGAAAACAGUCUGAUCAUGUAUUGCCUGCAUUGCCAUGGAUGCCAGGAUUUUCUAAUAAAAGUAAUGUCGACCUGGAAUCUGUCUAUGCCACCCCCCCCCCCCCCCCCCCGCCUUUUGUACUAACAAAUAACCGGGUUCUUUUCUCAGGCGGGCUAAAUGUUCACAUCUCUAGGUGCUAUAACCACCCCUUCACCCCGGAUGACUCAUCACUGACGGCCUGCCGGUCAGCCUGGUGAAACACAUUUUUCCCUCUCACACACACACA